AAUUAUGCCUUGAUCAGUUGAGAUUUUGAAUAAAUCUUCAAACCAACUGGCAAAAUUGAUCACAAAUUAUCAUAAAGUGAUUGAUUAUCUCUUGAAAUACAUGAAGUUGGUACCAACUAAUAAUCGAAGCUAAAUAGGAACUCAUGCACACAUACUUUAUAAG
This is a long non-coding RNA of Arabidopsis lyrata subsp. lyrata, 163 nucleotides long. RefSeq lists it as uncharacterized. The record is from RefSeq and is a predicted model, not a curated record. The transcript has 3 exons. NCBI's taxonomy places the organism in Eukaryota, Viridiplantae, Streptophyta, Magnoliopsida, Brassicales, Brassicaceae.